Molecule: ribosomal RNA, 253 nt
Filed under: uncultured bacterium
Lineage: Bacteria
Description: partial 16S ribosomal RNA
Rfam family: Bacterial small subunit ribosomal RNA
Source: RNAcentral
UACGUAGGUGGCAAGCGUUGUCCGGAAUCAUUGGGCGUAAAGAGCUCGUAGGCGGCCUGUCGCGUCUGCUGUGAAAUCCCGGGGCUCAACCCCGGGCGUGCAGUGGAUACGGGCUGGCUGGAGGCAGGCAGGGGAGAACGGAAUUCCCGGUGUAGCGGUGAAAUGCGCAGAUAUCGGGAGGAACACCGGUGGCGAAGGCGGUUCUCUGGGCCUGUACUGACGCUGAGGAGCGAAAGCGUGGGGAGCGAACAGG